GGGGUUAUAGCUCAGCUGGGAGAGCGCUUGCAUGGCAUGCAAGAGGUCCGCGGUUCGAUCCCGCGUAACUCCACCA
This 76-nucleotide transfer RNA is filed under the name Aeromonas hydrophila. Its description in RNAcentral is "tRNA-Ala". It matches the Rfam family "tRNA". From Rfam's summary of the family: Transfer RNA (tRNA) molecules are approximately 80 nucleotides in length. Their secondary structure includes four short double-helical elements and three loops (D, anti-codon, and T loops). The record is from RNAcentral. RNAcentral also lists the same sequence under 2 other names. Lineage: Bacteria; Pseudomonadati; Pseudomonadota; Gammaproteobacteria; Aeromonadales; Aeromonadaceae.